GGUGCCAUCGCCAAGUGGUAAGGCAAGGGUCUGCAACAUCCUCAUCGCCGGUUCAAAUCCGGCUGGCACCUCCA
This 74-nucleotide transfer RNA is filed under the name Candidatus Peregrinibacteria bacterium. RNAcentral describes it as "tRNA-Cys". It matches the Rfam family "tRNA". Rfam says of the family: Transfer RNA (tRNA) molecules are approximately 80 nucleotides in length. Their secondary structure includes four short double-helical elements and three loops (D, anti-codon, and T loops). The record is from RNAcentral. Lineage: Bacteria; Candidatus Peregrinibacteriota.